This 243-nucleotide ribosomal RNA is filed under the name uncultured bacterium. RNAcentral describes it as "partial 16S ribosomal RNA". It matches the Rfam family "Bacterial small subunit ribosomal RNA", at positions 534 to 776 of the family's 1533-position model. The record is from RNAcentral.
GCAAGCGUUGUUCGGAAUUACUGGGCGUAAAGGGCGCGUAGGCGGCCUUCUAAGUCGAACGUGAAAUCCCCGGGCUCAACCCGGGAACUGCGUCCGAUACUGGAAGGCUUGAAUCCGGGAGAGGGAUGUGGAAUUCCAGGUGUAGCGGUGAAAUGCGUAGAUAUCUGGAGGAACACCGGUGGCGAAGGCGACAUCCUGGACCGGUAUUGACGCUGAGGCGCGAAAGCCAGGGGAGCAAACGGG